Long non-coding RNA from Cyprinus carpio carpio, 1598 nucleotides. NCBI's taxonomy places the organism in Eukaryota, Metazoa, Chordata, Actinopteri, Cypriniformes, Cyprinidae. The record is from Ensembl.
ACAAAGGGACAACAAGGUAUUUUUUCUUACAAUUCUUCUUAAUUAAAUGUAUAAACUUCAGUAUUUUUUUUAGAAAACAAGACUUGAUAUAUUUUUGCUUCUCAAGUAAAUGUCUUGUUUUAGUAUUGUUUAAAUAUCUGUACUAGUAAGCAAGACAAAAAUACUGUGUAAGAAAAUCAUUUUUUGUUGCUCUGAUUUUAUCACCUGUUUUGUUACAUAUUUGUUUUAUCCUCAUCUCUUUUACUUCCUGCAGUUGGGUAUAUUCGCACUUUCAUCAGUCAUCUGAAUGCAGUAAAGCAUUUAUCCAGUCAAAUCUUCUCCCUCGAAAUCUCAUUUCUGCAAACACCUUUAGGAAUGAUAUGUACUCUUUGCUUCGAUGCUCAUCCCAUGGAUGCAGAACAUUAACGGCAAAGUCCUGAAUGCACAAAGGUAUCAGUAUGAAAAGCUUCCGAGGGCAGGGGGGGUCUUUGCACCAGCAUCUCAACCCACCGAUGCAGCUCUUCAAAUGGAGAUCAGUUCUCUGCAGCACACGUGUGGAGCCGCAGAGCUGUGGGUUUUCAUUGGUGGACAGGAAUACAGAUCAAAGAACAAAGCAUGUCUGACCGUACCGACCUUCAAAUAUGCAUAAACAUACUAUUACUCACAAGUACCCAAACAUAUUUAUAGAAUCAAGAUCGCAUGUUCUGGAUUGGUCCUGAAAGUCCUAAAAAAUGAAAUGCUGCUUAUUUGUUGAUUGCAAACCUAUAGGUCAGACUAGUGGUUUUAUUUUCUGUUCCAUUUUCAAUGAGGUUUAGUUUUUAUAACCUUGUUAACAAAAUUUGGAAAAUGUAAAUGUACAGUUUAAAACUUAAACUAAAAUAAAAACUGAAAAUAUAAAAAUAAAAGGCCAUUAUAAAUAUUAAAUAAACAUCAAAAUAGACCAAAUUUAUCAAGUUAUAAAAUAAUGGAACAAAUACACUAGAAUUAUUAUCAAGGUUGCAUAUGUAGCCGAAAUUAAGCAGCCAUGCUAGUGUUGAUCAAAAUGUUUAUUAAUAGAAUUAAAUUAACUACAACCAGGUUGGAUUUGAUGCAUACAGGGAAUACAACUAUACUUAUAAAAAUUGAGGAAUUAUUUACUUAUUUGAUGUUAAAUUGUUCAAGAACAUUGAUUCAAUUAUGGUUGAUGUUGGAUACCAUUAACAAGGUCAUGACCUCUGAUGUGGGACAUGCAAAAUUACCAUUUGAUGAAGGGUAUAUUACAUAUCUAAUACUGGUAAUGCUUCUAAAAAGUCGUGAAACACUAAAGUGAAGUGUGUUUUUGGAGAGUACCAAAUGCAGGUCUGGAUGACCUUUCAAAACAGCAUUUAUGACUUCAAAUCAGGAGAUAAAGUUAAGAGCCCCUUCAUCCUGCUGAUAUCAACACAGUACUUUUCCAGAAUCGUGUAGGCUAUUUAUUCAUUUUUAUUGUCUUAUUUUACUCCAAUUGUUUUACCUCAACAACCCGCUGCCUUUGUUCCUCUGUCUGCUUGCCUCUUGUACAGUUUAAAGAGAAGACUACACAGCUACGGUAUUUAUACAGAAAGUGUGUAUUUAUUUUCCAAUAAAGAUAAAAUGCAGAA